Long non-coding RNA from Raphanus sativus (radish), 1787 nucleotides. RefSeq lists it as uncharacterized. The record is from RefSeq and is a predicted model, not a curated record. The transcript is spliced from 6 exons. Lineage: Eukaryota; Viridiplantae; Streptophyta; Magnoliopsida; Brassicales; Brassicaceae.
AAAUGGUUUUCUUGCGCUCACCGGAAGUAUAUAAAGUCAAUGACCACCAGCUGCAUAGAAUCCCGGUAGAGAAAGUCAAAGUUCGUCAUUUUCAUGAUUGAGUGAUGACUUAGAUUUGCAUUUCACUCUUUUCAAUUAUUACGUAAACCAAUUAUCUUAGAUUUGUUUCAACGUAUAAACUGUGGUUACUAAGCCUAUUUCUCAAAUUAGUUGUUAGGAAUUAUCGAUCGUUUGAUUGCUUAACUAGAUAACGACACAAGAUUUUUAACCCAGUUCCCUUGCGGUACUUCUGGGGUGGGAACCGUCUCCCACAACUUCCACUAUCAAUCAAAGGGUUUACACAAACGCUAUGCGCUCAAUAGAAAAGACACACCAAAGAAUAUGAGAGAUCAAAGAAACUCUAUCCCGGAGCGACAUGACUCGAACAAUGUCUCCUAAGUUUCUUCUACCCGAUCUCUCUCCCGACUCCCUCUUUGUUCUACUUCUGUUUCGGAUGCUUGUAAAGUCUUGACCACGUUCUCUAUUUAUGACCCUAACCACCGACGUUAGUUUUCCUUUUCUUAAUUGCCUUAGCAAUUUGACUAACCGACACUAACGUGUUUCCUCUUUUGCACAGGUUUGGUUAUUGGGAUGUAAGCUUGGAUAAGCAAUUGGAUUUGGGCCUAUUAUCCUUUCGAUCUCCACCUUAGGACCAAAUACCAAUUCUUCUAACUCUCGCUUGCUUUUCUCUCGUUCACACCGUCGCACCUCUCUUUAACAUUGGACAUUUUUUUUCUUUCUGUUUUCAUAUGAAAGCUCCCAUAGCUCGCGUUCCAAAUGACGGGAACCCAUUCAAACUUCUAAAGACUUCAUCUUGCUCUUCAGUAACACUUAACCAUCAUUGCGCAACCGUUGAAGGUUCCUCAUCGUACAAGACCCCCACCAUCCAUACUGAAGAUCGCGAUUCUUCAUUAAUGGUGAAUCUUGUUUUGCCUGAAUCAAGCUGAUAAAUCUCACCGGAGUUCUGUAGUUUCCAUGACAACGUCUGUUUGCUGAUCUCUAUCACAAGCUUCCCUUUCUGCUUUUGACUCACUUGUCAAUCCAUAUCAUCGUUGAUGCCCCUUCCGUUUACUUCUCUAACGAGACCCAUCGGAGCCAUCAACAGUGACCUUUCUUUCCGCGUUCCUCUCUGCAUCUCCCUGCGGUGCCCUUGUCGCCAUUACUCCACCUGGAGCUGCUUCACCACAGCUACUGCAACUUUCGACCACUUCUCUGCACCAUUAAGAGUACAUAAUACUUGACGUUGGCCUUAACCCUUUGAUUAUUCCCUUGAUAGUGAACAUAACUUGAUGCAACUUCAACAUGAAUCUUUGCAUCCUCUGGCAUAAGGCUUCGAGGCCAUUACCCAAUAGCUUCUCCGAUGAACAACCGCAUCUCCUCAGCUGUGCUGAUAACUCGAGCUUUCUUGGACGAAGAACGGACCUGUGUCCAUCUACUGCAGUUUCAUCUUCUUGCAGCAUCUCCAGCUACUCGCUCCUUUGCUGCUCACGAUGAUCCAUGUUCUGUACCUUGAGACUUUAACUACUCCACCUUAAGCAAUUUCUUUUGCUUUUUCUGUAGCUACUCCACCUGAAGCCAAUAUCUCUUCACCCUAGCUUCAUAGUUGUCACAGGUUUGGUUAUUGGGAUGUAAGCUUGGAUAAGCAAUUGGAUUUGGGCCUAUUAUCCUUUCAUUAGUGGGUCUAACUAAUAUCACAGAUGAUUAAAAGCAAACUAAACAUUUAUUUGAACAAAAAAAAAAGAGCUUAC